UGUCCGGAGUUGAUUGCAAUAGGUCAAAACCAACCCUUUUCUAUAGCCGAGGUCCUAUCUUUUAAUCAAGAAGAUAAUGCACUUUUAGCUACACCUAGGGAAUCUGUUAAUCUUUUUCUAAAUUCUGGUUUAGACCUAGCCCUACAAGACCAUGUUUUUCCUAAAUAUUUUCACAUUGGUCUUAAUCAUAUAACCUUUGCU
RNAcentral lists this long non-coding RNA (201 nucleotides) under Sorghum bicolor (sorghum). RNAcentral describes it as "long non-coding RNA (SBIC_LNC010913)". Lineage: Eukaryota; Viridiplantae; Streptophyta; Magnoliopsida; Poales; Poaceae. The record is from RNAcentral.